AACCGAAACGCUCCUCAUGGAGCGUCUGCCGAGAACGACCACUCGGCACUGAUGAGGUAGGUCACG
Molecule: non-coding RNA, 66 nt
Filed under: Oscillospiraceae bacterium
Lineage: Bacteria; Bacillati; Bacillota; Clostridia; Eubacteriales; Oscillospiraceae
Source: RNAcentral